UGCGACGGUGGUGAUGGAGGCACGUACGGCGGCGGUCAACGAAUAUAGGUGAAACGGUCGGUAAUGAUGUGGUAAAGGAUCGGUGGAGAAGGAAGGCAAAGGCACGAUAAAUAGUGGAUGUAGAGGGGGAAAAAGUGAAGGAAAGGGACGGAGGUUUGAACUGAUGUCGUGCUCGAUGGUUAGAGGUAAUGGUGGUGGUGCAUAGGUGUAGUGGUCGAAACAGUGAAGGGUAAAGGGAUUUGGGUCAACGAAGAGUAGAGGAGAAAGGGGAAAGGAGAAGGGGGGCUAGUGUGCAAGGUUUGGCCAAUGAAAAUGUAGCAACGAAGGGAGCGAUGGUGCAUGGUGAUCGGACCGGCGAAAG
Molecule: long non-coding RNA, 361 nt
Filed under: Gossypium raimondii (Peruvian cotton)
Lineage: Eukaryota; Viridiplantae; Streptophyta; Magnoliopsida; Malvales; Malvaceae
Description: long non-coding RNA (GRAI_LNC010379)
Source: RNAcentral